This 397-nucleotide transfer-messenger RNA is filed under the name Salibacteraceae. RNAcentral's name for it is "CAJXZP01 sp913062955 Standard tmRNA". It matches the Rfam family "transfer-messenger RNA". Rfam says of the family: Bacterial tmRNA, also known as 10Sa RNA or SsrA, is named for its dual tRNA and mRNA-like properties. Its role is to liberate the mRNA from a stalled ribosome. RNAcentral also lists the same sequence under 1 other name. The record is from RNAcentral. Lineage: Bacteria; Pseudomonadati; Bacteroidota; Flavobacteriia; Flavobacteriales.
GGGGUCGACUGGUUUUGACAGCGAGGUCAACCGUUAUUUAAGCAAGUAGAGCUUUGGGGUAUAGCUCUUUAAUUCAAUACCGCAUUUUUUUAACAGGCGAAAACAAUUACGCUCUUGCUGCAUAAUUCACCAAGUGAAUUAUACUUCAUUUUCACUACUAGGUAGGAAAACGGGAUGCCUAGUAACAAACCUUGUCUAGCGGUUUGUUACAAUAUGGUAUUGAUAAAGUUAGGUAAGGAUUAGUACGGCUUCUGUGCUGGUUCAAGAUUAAUGAAGCUAAGUUUUAAGUGGGCUGUUUGUGGCCAUCUUGAUUUCGAAAACCAAUCAUAAACUAAACUUGUAGAAAGAUUAAUGUUUGCUUGUUUGGACGAGGGUUCGAAUCCCUCCGACUCCACCA